Molecule: ribosomal RNA, 269 nt
Filed under: uncultured prokaryote
Description: partial 16S ribosomal RNA
Rfam family: Bacterial small subunit ribosomal RNA
Source: RNAcentral
UACGUAGGGGGCGAGCGUUGUCCGGAAUGAUUGGGCGUAAAGGGCGCGUAGGCGGCCUGUCAAGUCAGUAGUGGAAGUCCAUCUUUCAAGGAUGGAAGUGCUACAGAAACUGAUGGGCUUGAGUGCAGGAGAGGUUAUCGGAAUUCCCGGUGUAGCGGUGAAAUGCGUAGAGAUCGGGAGGAACACCAGUGGCGAAGGCGGCUUUCUGGACCAUAACUGACACUGAGGCACGAAGGCGUGGGGAUCAAACAGGAUUAGAUACCCCCGUA